Molecule: RNA transcript, 1423 nt
Organism: Phragmites australis (common reed)
Lineage: Eukaryota; Viridiplantae; Streptophyta; Magnoliopsida; Poales; Poaceae
Exons: 5
Source: RefSeq, a predicted model, not a curated record
CUACAACUAACAAAACGAAAGCCAUACAAUUCCGAAGCCCCAACCACGGAAUCCUAUGGAAUUGGGCCCUCCGCGGCGCCGCUCCUUGUCUCCCCCACUGGCGGCUGCAGGGUGCAGUCCUCAAGUUGCGCAGGUGUCUGAGUGUCUCGUAGCCAGGCAACACAAGCAAGGUGUAAAACCAUCAGCGCAAUAGAUCCAGUACCAUGAACGCGAGUAAUGGGAAGAAGAAGUAUAGGGGCUAUCUUACUUGGACAGACGAUAUGGAUCAGGCGCUCCUGGAUGUUCUUGUUGAGCAUCACAACAAUGGUGAUCACACACAGACCGGAUGGAAGCCACAUGUGUACACUGCAGCAGUGAGAAAUGUGCGAGAGAAGUGCAACGUGGACAUCACAAAGGAUCAUGUGAUGUCAAGAUGCAAGACUUUUGACAAGCACUGCAAUAUCGUUGGCAGGAUACUCGCCCACGAUGGAUUUGAGUGGGAUCGAGACAGGGACAAGCUCGUGAUUCAGAAUGAGGAUGCUUGGAGCAGAUACAUAGAGAAAAACAAAUUAGCGGCUUGCUAUCAACAUAAAGUUAUCAAGAACUGGGACUCAAUAAGCCUAAUUUUCUCCAGAGAUCAUACUGCCACAAGUGAAGAUGUUAGCACAGGUGCUGAGAAUGGCCAAGAGAUGGCAAUGAAGGGUGAUGAAUAUGUUCACGAGAUUACUCCAAGUUCACCUUCAACAUCUGAACCUAUCAGUCAAGAUUGUCGUGGACCACCCACAUUGACUCAACCGAACCAACGAGGCAGGAGGAAGAGGCUUAGAACAAAUGAUGCACUCUUUUGUAUGUCUGGUGAAAUCAAGAAUUCAUUCAAAAUAUCUAUCAAGUCAAAUGAGCCUCCGGAGGAGCCAAAGAAUGCGUCUCCUAAGGAAAUCUUUGCAGCACUUCAAGAGAUUCCUAACUUAGUACGUGAUGAUUUGCUGAGAGCCUACUGUAUCCUCACAAGCAAUGAUCGCAAGUUUGAAUCUCUUCUGGCACUUCCAAUGGACAUGAGGAAGGAUUGGUUGUUGAUGGAGAUUGGAGAGAAGUGAAGCUCAGCCGAUUUCCAUCGUUAUGCCAGAUUUAUCAUUAGGCUCGUUAGUGUUGUUUAAACAUGGAAUUUUGUUCCUCAACUGCCAGCUUUUUAAUUGGAACGAACACAUUGUGUACAUUUUGUUCAAGCGGAGGUCAGGAGCGGAUUGAUGGUUCAUAUAUACUGUGAGGCUUUACAUGAAGCAUUUGGAGAAAACAAAAUAUUGCAGAAGUUGAACAUCCUUAAAAGGUUUAGGUUAAAGUAAGUGAAAGUUAAGGAAAACUUCUUUCUUCUACAUAUAUAUGUGAACGAUGGUGAAUGAUUUCCUAUUAGAAACGGAUAGUUAUCUUCCGAGAACAUUAUGUUACA